CCUACGGGAGGCAGCAGUGGGGAAUAUUGGGCAAUGGUGGAAACUCUGACCCAGCGACGCCGCGUGCGGGAUGAAGGCCUUCGGGUUGUAAACCGCUUUCAGUAGGGAAGAAGCGAAAGUGUCGGUACCUACAAAAGAAGCACCGGCUAACUAUGUGCCAGCAGCCGCGGUAAUACAAAGGGUGCAAGCGUUGUCCGGAAUUAUUGGGCGUAAAGAGCUCGUAGGUCGGAUGUUACGUCGGAUGUGAAACCCUGAGGCUCA
RNAcentral lists this ribosomal RNA (261 nucleotides) under uncultured bacterium. Its description in RNAcentral is "partial 16S ribosomal RNA". It matches the Rfam family "Bacterial small subunit ribosomal RNA", at positions 338 to 611 of the family's 1533-position model. The record is from RNAcentral.